This 398-nucleotide ribosomal RNA is filed under the name uncultured bacterium. Its description in RNAcentral is "partial 16S ribosomal RNA". It matches the Rfam family "Bacterial small subunit ribosomal RNA", at positions 338 to 733 of the family's 1533-position model. The record is from RNAcentral.
CCUACGGGAGGCAGCAGUGAGGAAUAUUGGUCAAUGGACGAGAGUCUGAACCAGCCAAGUAGCGUGAAGGAUGACUGUCCUAUGGGUUGUAAACUUCUUUUAUAUGGGAAUAAAAUGUUCCACGUGUGGGAGUUUGUAUGUACCAUAUGAAUAAGGAUCGGCUAACUCCGUGCCAGCAGCCGCGGUAAUACGGAGGAUCCGAGCGUUAUCCGGAUUUAUUGGGUUUAAAGGGUGCGUAGGUGGAUUGUUAAGUCAACUGUGAAAGUUUGCGGGUCAACCGUAAAAUGGCAGUUGAAACUGGCAGUCUUGAGUAUAGUAGAGGUAGGCGGAAUGCGUGGUGUAGCGGUGAAAUGCAUAGAUAUCACGAAGAACUCCGAUUGCGAAGGCAGCACGCUGGA